This 450-nucleotide ribosomal RNA is filed under the name Guibemantis depressiceps. Its description in RNAcentral is "partial 16S ribosomal RNA". It matches the Rfam family "Bacterial large subunit ribosomal RNA", at positions 1840 to 2506 of the family's 2925-position model. Lineage: Eukaryota; Metazoa; Chordata; Amphibia; Anura; Mantellidae. The record is from RNAcentral.
CAAUUAUAAGAGGUCCAUCCUGCCCAGUGAUAAAAUUCAACGGCCGCGGUACUCUAACCGUGCGANGGUAGCAUAAUCACUUGUUCUUUAAAUGAGGACUUGUAUCAACGGCAUCACGAGGGUUAAACUGUCUCCUUUUUCAAAUCAGUGAAACUAAUCUCUCCGUGAAGAAGCGGGGAUAAAUUUAUAAGACGAGAAGACCCCAUGGAGCUUUAAACCCAGCUACAACCUAAUCUAAUUUUACCUUUCANCUUUUAAGGCUCUGUAUUUCUGGUUUUAGGUUGGGGUGACCACGGAGCACAAAUUAGCCUCCAUAAUGAAUAGAUAUCCUCUUUAUCCAAGAAUUACAACUCUAAGAAUUAGUAUUCUAACAUAAAAUGAUCCGACAUUCGAUCAACGAACCAAGUUACCCUGGGGAUAACAGCGCAAUCCACUUAAAGAGCCCAUAUC